Small nuclear RNA from Tachysurus fulvidraco (yellow catfish), 158 nucleotides. RefSeq annotates it as U1 spliceosomal RNA. Lineage: Eukaryota; Metazoa; Chordata; Actinopteri; Siluriformes; Bagridae. The transcript has a single exon. The record is from RefSeq and is a predicted model, not a curated record.
AUACAUACCUGGCAGGGGCAAUACCAUGGUCAAGGAGGUGGUUUGCCCAAAGUGAGGCUCAGCCAUUGCAAUCGGUGUCACCGAACUAAACUGAACUAAAAUUCCCCAAAUGCGAGAAUCUUGACUGUACCAUUUGAUUGUGACAGUAGUGGCACAAG